RNAcentral lists this microRNA precursor (64 nucleotides) under Eisenia fetida (common brandling worm). RNAcentral's name for it is "Efe-Mir-2690-P1_pre stem-loop". The record is from RNAcentral. Lineage: Eukaryota; Metazoa; Annelida; Clitellata; Crassiclitellata; Lumbricidae.
AACUCUGGACCCACUGUCUCAUACAAUGCAUCUGAUAAUUGUGUGAAAGUGAGGCCAGUGUGGU